UGCGCAGGCGGCUUAUUAAGUCAGUGGUGAAAUCUCUCGGCUCAACCGAGAAACUGCCAUUGAAACUGAUAAGCUCGAGUGUAGUUGUAGUAGGCGGAAUAUAGCAUGUAGCGGUGAAAUGCUUAGAUAUGCUAUAGAACACCGAUCGCGAAGGCAGCUUACUAAACUAUUACUGACGCUCAUGCACGAAAGCGUGGGGAGCAAACAGGAUUAGAUACCCUGGUAGUCC
Molecule: ribosomal RNA, 229 nt
Filed under: uncultured bacterium
Lineage: Bacteria
Description: partial 16S ribosomal RNA
Rfam family: Bacterial small subunit ribosomal RNA
Source: RNAcentral